AUACAUGCAAGUCGAGCGAACUGAUUAGAAGCUUGCUUCUAUGACGUUAGCGGCGGACGGGUGAGUAACACGUGGGCAACCUGCCUGUAAGACUGGGAUAACUUCGGGAAACCGAAGCUAAUACCGGAUAGGAUCUUCUCCUUCAUGGGAGAUGAUUGAAAGAUGGUUUCGGCUAUCACUUACAGAUGGGCCCGCGGUGCAUUAGCUAGUUGGUGAGGUAACGGCUCACCAAGGCAACGAUGCAUAGCCGACCUGAGAGGGUGAUCGGCCACACUGGGACUGAGACACGGCCCAGACUCCUACGGGAGGCAGCAGUAGGGAAUCUUCCGCAAUGGACGAAAGUCUGACGGAGCAACGCCGCGUGAGUGAUGAAGGCUUUCGGGUCGUAAAACUCUGUUGUUAGGGAAGAACAAGUACAAGAGUAACUGCUUGUACCUUGACGGUACCUAACCAGAAAGCCACGGCUAACUACGUGCCAGCAGCCGCGGUAAUACGUAGGUGGCAAGCGUUAUCCGGAAUUAUUGGGCGUAAAGCGCGCGCAGGCGGUUUCUUAAGUCUGAUGUGAAAGCCCACGGCUCAACCGUGGAGGGUCAUUGGAAACUGGGGAGCUUGAGUGCAGAACAAAAAAGCGGAAUUCCCCCUGUAGCGGUGAAAUGCGUAUAGAUGGGGGAGGAACAACCAGUGUAGAAAGCCGCGUUUUCUCCUCA
This 707-nucleotide ribosomal RNA is filed under the name Priestia megaterium. Its description in RNAcentral is "bacterial SSU rRNA". It matches the Rfam family "Bacterial small subunit ribosomal RNA", at positions 51 to 737 of the family's 1533-position model. The record is from RNAcentral. Lineage: Bacteria; Bacillati; Bacillota; Bacilli; Caryophanales; Bacillaceae.